AACUUCAGAGUCAAAUAUCUGGCCACGUACUUGCCAUUUCUUCUUAAAUAUCUAAUAGGAACCCUAAACUUAAUAUGUCUUAUUACAGCCUACUGUCAACUUGCUUCUUCCUAAAUUUUCUCCAUUUCAUUAAAAGACACCAUUAUCCACCUAAGUGCUCAGGAGUCAUCCUAGGAGUCAUCCCUAGGAGUCAUCCUAGAGUUGUUCCUUCAGUCACUACAUCUAAUCCUUUAGCAGAUACUGUUGACUUUACCUUUACAUUUGAAUCUGUCCACUUCUCUUCCUUCCUCCUGUUCCUACCGUAGUACAAGCUACCACCAACUUUCUUCUGGACUAUUGCAAUGGCCUCAUCAUUGGUUUCCGUGUUUCUCCCAUUGAUCCCUGCUACAAUACAUUCUCCCACAUAAAAGUCAUGAUGUUAAAAGCUUUCAGGAUAUCCUUCUAGAUAUUUUCCAUGUAUGUAGAGCCCUUCCUUUUAAAAAGCACACAUAUACACACAUAUAUAUAAACAUAAAUGGGAUUGUACUGC
Molecule: long non-coding RNA, 529 nt
Filed under: Homo sapiens (human)
Lineage: Eukaryota; Metazoa; Chordata; Mammalia; Primates; Hominidae
Description: HSALNT0329955
Source: RNAcentral